Molecule: long non-coding RNA, 1651 nt
Organism: Labrus mixtus (cuckoo wrasse)
Lineage: Eukaryota; Metazoa; Chordata; Actinopteri; Labriformes; Labridae
Exons: 3
Source: RefSeq, a predicted model, not a curated record
GUGUGUUCCAUCACUUAUCUGAAUCACUUUAGACAGUUCGGCUGCAGAGAAACAUCAGACAUUGGUGCUGAGACUUCAUUCAGGUUUCAAUCUGAAGAAUGACAGAAAACUACAAUAACAUCACCCACUGGAAUGGCAGCUAUGAAUACUUCGACUAUGAGUAUUACCAAAAAUUACAUUUCAUAAGGCACGUAGUAACAUGCAUCGUCAUUAGUAUCGGCCUUCCUCUGACGCUCAUGGUCAUCUGUGCUCUUUGCUUUCUGGUACGAAAGGAUCAUGUGGCUCCAAUCUACGUCAUCAACCUUCUCAUUACUGACCUCAUUCAGCUCUGCUGCCUGCUCCUUCUGGAGAUAAAUCAGUAUCAUUUACGUGCCAUCGUAGAUUAUAUUUACUAUAGUGGCCUAAUGACCAGUGUUUGCUUCAUGGUGGUUGUCUCACUGGAAAGGUAACUAUAUGUCCUGUAGCUACGUCUGUUUCUGACUUUAAUAUUUCUGACUUAUUCUGCACCUCCUCAAAGACAACGUGUCCAUCUUUUAUUGCAGAUAUCUGGUCAUCGCCCACCCACUGUGGUACCGCUUCAAACGAACCAUCAAGAUCUCUGUGGUGGUCAGUGUCGUGGCCUGGCUCAUUCCUCAUGUUAUUUUCCUCCCUUUGUUUCUCUUCUCUGUGCUUCCGAUGAUUCCUUUAAAAGUGAUAAUUAGCGUCUUCAUCAUUUUCCUCAUCAUUCUCUUCCUACUGUUCAUAUUCUUCCUGGUUGGGACCCUCAGAGCCCUCUCUGCUUCUGUCUCCGUCCCCUUUGAAGAAAAACGUCGAAAUGUUGUAAUCUUGGUCCUGGUGCUGCUCAUUUACACUUAUUUGCUGUUCCUGCCUAUCAUGAUUGUUGUUCUUCUCAUGAACAUAUUUGACCGAACUCUGAAUGUCUUAUCUCUAAUGUUUGUUCACCUGAGUCCUCUUGCAGACUUAAUUCUGUAUGUUUUCUUGAGAAAAGAGUCCAUUGGAAAGCUUUGUACCGCUGUGAACUGGUGCAGAGUUGCCAACGCUGACACCAACAUAUAGACAGUAUGAAUGUGGACAACAUUUUGACAUUGAGCUCCAUGGAGGAAGAGAGAAUGAGGAGAAAACAGACCAAAAUGUUCUCUCAGUUUAGAACAAAUGCAUUUCUUACAAAACUGUAUUUCUUUAGCUUGUUGUUCUUCUUGACAGUUAAGUACACUUUCUACUCUUCUUAACUUUUUAAUCUUCUGAUCAAUAAAAGCUUUACUUGUGCAGUUCAAGUGGUUGGCAUAUCAGCUUUUAGGAUGUGAGAGAAGGUCCUUUUCAUUGUAAAUUUGACAAAAUGAAAUAUUAUAUCACAGUCUUGCUCAUUACAUUUUAAUAAUACUAUGACGUUCAAUAAAUAAAAAUCUGUUUCAAGACAAAAACAGGAAGUUAAUGACUUAUUAAAAUCUAACAAACAUUGCAUUUUGUGAAGCUCACUGUGUGUUUACCUUUUAUAAACUUUGAUUACGCCUAGUUAUGAUCCAACAACAACGCUAAAUGUCAAGAAUAUUUCUCAUCAUGUCAGACUUUUUACUUCAACAACUUGACUUCUGACAAGCUUUUUGGAUAACUGAAAGAUAUCCCCACAGUGACAUUAAGAAUGACGGUAACA